UCUUAGUGGCGGACGGGUGAGUAACGCGUGGGUAACCUGCCUUAUACAGGGGGAUAACACUUAGAAAUAGGUGCUAAUACCGCAUAAGCGCACGGGGCUGCAUGGCCCAGUGUGAAAAACUCCGGUGGUAUAAGAUGGACCCGCGUCUGAUUAGCUUGUUGGCGGGGUAACGGCCCACCAAGGCGACGAUCAGUAGCCGGCCUGAGAGGGCGGACGGCCACACUGGGACUGAGACACGGCCCAGACUCCUACGGAAGGCAGCAG
This 264-nucleotide ribosomal RNA is filed under the name uncultured bacterium. RNAcentral's name for it is "partial 16S ribosomal RNA". It matches the Rfam family "Bacterial small subunit ribosomal RNA", at positions 90 to 354 of the family's 1533-position model. The record is from RNAcentral.